AACGAACGCUGGCGGCAUGCCUAACACAUGCAAGUCGAACGAGACCUUCGGGCUUAGUGGCGCACGGGUGCGUAACGCGUGGGAAUCUGCCCUUGGGUUCGGAAUAACAGUUGGAAACGACUGCUAAUACCGGAUGAUGAUGUAAGUCCAAAGAUUUAUCGCCCAGGGAUGAGCCCGCGUAGGAUUAGCUAGUUGGUGGGGUAAAGGGCCACCAAGGCGACGAUCCUUAGCUGGUCUGAGAGGAUGAUCAGCGACACUGGGACUGAGACACGGCCCAGACUCCUACGGGAGGCAGCAGUGGGGAAUAUGGGACAAUGGGCGAAAGCCUGAUCCAGCGAGGCCGCGUGAGUGAUGAAGGCCUUAGGGUUGUAAAGCUCUUUUACCCGGGAUGAUAAUGACGGUACCGGGAGAAUAAGCCCCGGCUAACUCCGUG
This 433-nucleotide ribosomal RNA is filed under the name uncultured bacterium. RNAcentral's name for it is "partial 16S ribosomal RNA". It matches the Rfam family "Bacterial small subunit ribosomal RNA", at positions 29 to 507 of the family's 1533-position model. The record is from RNAcentral.